Long non-coding RNA from Cyprinus carpio (common carp), 1438 nucleotides. Lineage: Eukaryota; Metazoa; Chordata; Actinopteri; Cypriniformes; Cyprinidae. The record is from Ensembl.
UAAUCACAAACACUGAGAUUAAAUCUGGUGCAACACACAUCAACAGUUGAAAAUGGGUGUAAUGCUUUUUCUAAUAUCCCCUCAAGGUCAGACAUUACUGAAAAGAGCAGUUGUGUUGGUGUCUCAUGACGAAGUGAAGCACUACCUCAGGAGUCAAGCACAAACCACUGCAGAGGAAUCAACAACCUCUGAGAGUCAGCAGGACGCAGCACCUGCCACAGACCUUCACGUGGGAGAGCAUAGGGAUGGUCUUGAGGAACAGGGCUGUACUAGUGGUACUCUAGAAGAGAGGGUCUCUCAAGAAGUGAAGGAAACCGACACCGCCUCCAUAUCUGCCCAACAAAGCACUGUCGAAAAAAGGAGAAGGCUUUCCAAGCCCAAACCCAGUCUGAGCCGGGCAGCACAGUCCAUCCACAGACCUCUGAAUGUACAGAAGACAGAUUUUAGUGAAAAUACCCCGUAUUUCAAACAUGACUCAGUGCAGCUGCAGUGUAGCAGUCCUGUGGAAGUCCAAGUGAAGAAUACCCCAAAUGAAUGCCUCGAAGAAGAGCACAGGGACCGUCCUGAGAAAGAGAGCACAUGUAGUGUCACUCCAGAAGAGAACGGCCCUCAGGAAGUUCAGGUCCAGGAUGAUGAAGCAGAAACCACUGUAGAUGAUCUUCCUUCCUUAACAUCAGUUGGAAGUCCUCCAGGAGCGAGUAAGAUUUUACCCAUCCUUGAGAUGCCCCAGGUUCUUGACACCACACCAUCAGAUGAAGAUGUGCCUGAAAGAAGAAGAGAAUUUGAUAGGUCUCCAUCGCAGACGUCUGAGAAUGAAGAUCUAAUUACUGAUCAGAAGGAGGAAGAUUCAGAGCCUGUUGCAUCUGAAGUCACAGACGUCAUGAUUGAGGAAUCUCAGACAGAGCUGAAGAGGAUUUUUCCAGUCAGCUGUUCUGUGGAUGGUUCCUCAGUUUAUACUCAAGAUGAUAUUGCCCCAGAGAGAGACAGUCAGUUUGCUAAGCAAACACCCAACCUAGAAGGGACAUCCCCAGUCAUGAUCAGCCCUCAGCAGACCUCAGAGCCUAAAGAAGAUCCUUCUGAAAAGCCAGAACCUCAGAGUCCUGUUCAAGCCCAGCACAGUAAUUUGGAUCAUGACUUAGAGAACAUCUCCAGAGAAGAUAAGAUUUUGUCAUCUGAGGUGGAUUUACAGGGAUGUAAACUGGAUGAGGAUCUUCUGUCUCCUGUCCCAUUACUUAGCUCAACACAAACUUUAUCCGCAAAAGUUCUUGUGGACGGCACUGAUAAAAGAAAUACAGAACCAAAUGACCAAGUUCUCAGUGAUGCUUCAUCAGCACCAUUUGAAGCACACAGUCUGGUUUCAUCUUUUUCUGAUCCUCCCAAUGAACAUGCAAGCACCCUGUGUGAUAUGGACACGUAUGAACAUAGUUUGCUGCUUUAA